UACGGGGGGGGCAAGCGUUGUUCGGAAUUACUGGGCGUAAAGGGCGCGUAGGCGGCAAUUCAAGUCAGCUGUGAAAUCUCCGGGCUUAACUCGGAACGGUCAGCUGAUACUGCUUUGCUAGAGUGCAGAAGGGGCAAUCGGAAUUCUUGGUGUAGCGGUGAAAUGCGUAGAUAUCAAGAGGAACACCUGAGGUGAAGACGGGUUGCUGGGCUGACACUGACGCUGAGGCGCGAAAGCUAGGGUAGCAAACGGG
This 253-nucleotide ribosomal RNA is filed under the name uncultured bacterium. RNAcentral's name for it is "partial 16S ribosomal RNA". It matches the Rfam family "Bacterial small subunit ribosomal RNA", at positions 524 to 776 of the family's 1533-position model. The record is from RNAcentral.